RNAcentral lists this ribosomal RNA (508 nucleotides) under uncultured bacterium. Its description in RNAcentral is "partial 16S ribosomal RNA". It matches the Rfam family "Bacterial small subunit ribosomal RNA", at positions 29 to 523 of the family's 1533-position model. The record is from RNAcentral.
AUUGAACGCUGGCGGCAGGCCUAACACAUGCAAGUCGAGCGGCAGCGGGAAAGUAGCUUGCUGCUUUUGCCGGCGAGCGGCGGACGGGUGAGUAAUGCCUGGGGAUCUGCCCAGUCGAGGGGGAUAACAGUUGGAAACGACUGCUAACACCGCAUACGCCCUACGGGGGAAAGGAGGGGACCUCCGGGCCUUUCGCGAUUGGAGGAACCCAGGUGGGAUUAGCUAGUUGGGGGGGUAAUGGCUCACCAAGGCGACGAUCCCUAGCUGGUCUGAGAGGAUGAUGCGCCACACUGGAACUGAGACACGGUGCAGACUCCUACGGGAGGCAGCAGUGGGGAAUAUUGCACAAUGGGGGAAACCCUGAUGCAGCCAUGCCGCGUGUGUGAAGAAGGCCUUCGGGUUGUAAAGCACUUUCAGCGAGGAGGAAAGGUUGUUGGCUAAUACCCAGCAACUGUGACGUUACUCGCAGAAGAAGCACCGGCUAACUCCGUGCCAGCCGCCGCGGUAA